Long non-coding RNA from Corythoichthys intestinalis (scribbled pipefish), 473 nucleotides. RefSeq lists it as uncharacterized. The transcript has 5 exons. The record is from RefSeq and is a predicted model, not a curated record. NCBI's taxonomy places the organism in Eukaryota, Metazoa, Chordata, Actinopteri, Syngnathiformes, Syngnathidae.
CAGGAGCCCAUUCACCAACUCUCUGCUGUGGUAGCUGGGAGUCUGUUUUUGGGAAAAUUUCAGCCUGUUAGAAAGAGGAAAUUCCCUGUUGAAAAAAAGUGGAUUUGUCCUGUCAACGUAUGCGCUCGUUGGAUUUUAGUGAUUGCCCACAUGUCUGAGAGGACACUGGUGAUCAUCGAUCCAUUGGGGAACGAGGACAAAUAUGAGAGCAAAAUCUUGUGGAAUUGGAGGAACUUCUUGAGGUUGGCGGGCCGUGAGUUCCAAAUGGAAACUUGGACUACCAAAACUGCCCCAUAACAAGCAACAGGACAACAGUAGCUGUGGGGUUUUGUUUGCGGAAGAGUAUAUGGCCAAUGGCGAUCUCAGGCACACCCAGACCCACCUUCCCGAUGUUCUGAAGGCUCGAGGAGAUAUAGCCUGUGCCCUCCUACAGGCCUGGAAUCUAUGUCUGUUUAAAUAAAAUGUCUGAAACU